AUUGAACGCUGGCGGCAUGCUUUACACAUGCAAGUCGAACGGCAGCACGGGUGCUUGCACCUGGUGGCGAGUGGCGAACGGGUGAGUAAUAUAUCGGAACGUACCCGGAAAUGGGGGAUAACGUAGCGAAAGUUACGCUAAUACCGCAUAUGCCCUGAGGGGGAAAGCGGGGGAUUCGUAAGAACCUCGCGUUUUCGGAGCGGCCGAUAUCGGAUUAGCUAGUAGGUGAGGUAAAGGCUCACCUAGGCGACGAUCCGUAGCUGGUCUGAGAGGACGACCAGCCACACUGGAACUGAGACACGGUCCAGACUCCUACGGGAGGCAGCAGUGGGGAAUUUUGGACAAUGGGCGCAAGCCUGAUCCAGCCAUGCCGCGUGAGUGAAGAAGGCCUUCGGGUUGUAAAGCUCUUUCAGCCGGAAAGAAAACGCACAAGUUAAUACCCUGUGUGGAUGACGGUACCGGAAGAA
RNAcentral lists this ribosomal RNA (467 nucleotides) under uncultured bacterium. RNAcentral's name for it is "bacterial SSU rRNA". It matches the Rfam family "Bacterial small subunit ribosomal RNA", at positions 30 to 486 of the family's 1533-position model. The record is from RNAcentral.